AGAGUUUGAUCCUGGCUCAGAUUGAACGCUGGCGGCAUGCUUUACACAUGCAAGUCGAACGGCAGCACGGGCUUCGGCCUGGUGGCGAGUGGCGAACGGGUGAGUAAUGCGUCGGAACGCGCCGAGUAGUGGGGGAUAACGCAGCGAAAGCUGUGCCAAUACCGCAUACGUACUGAGGUAGAAAGUGGGGGACCUUCGGGCCUCACGCUAUUCGAGCGGCCGACGUCUGAUUAGCUAGUUGGUGAGGUAAAGGCUCACCAAGGCGACGAUCAGUAGCGGGUCUGAGAGGAUGAUCCGCCACACUGGGACUGAGACACGGCCCAGACUCCUACGGGAGGCAGCAGUGGGGAAUUUUGGACAAUGGGCGCAAGCCUGAUCCAGCCAUGCCGCGUGUCUGAAGAAGGCCUUCGGGUUGUAAAG
RNAcentral lists this ribosomal RNA (420 nucleotides) under uncultured bacterium. RNAcentral describes it as "bacterial SSU rRNA". It matches the Rfam family "Bacterial small subunit ribosomal RNA", at positions 8 to 430 of the family's 1533-position model. The record is from RNAcentral.